AACGUAAAGUAUAUCGAGUUGGUCCGAUCUUUUUCUAGGGUUUACAUAUAAAUGUAAUAACAGUUCCUUCUAUUUUUCAAUCAGGGUUUCAAAGGCAAUUGAGAGAGAGUGAGAUUUUGUGAGCCCAGUCACCAUGAGAGCGAAGUGGAAGAAGAAGCGCAUGAGAAGAUUGAAGAGGAAGAGAAGAAAGAUGAGACAGAGAUCUAAGUAGACGAAGAGACAUGAAUCCAUCUUUUUAGAGGUCUUCUAAUUUGUUGUUUUUAAAGUUUAAUGUCGUUUGUUUUGGUAUUUUGAUUUAGUUGAAUCUGACGUUGAAUUUUGAAUGUUUCUACAACUUCGAUAGAUUUAAUCUAAUGGAGAUUAUUAGUUUGGAUCUAAUUGUUUUGAUUCAGCUUCUUGUUUUAA
Pistacia vera is the source of this 405-nucleotide long non-coding RNA. RefSeq lists it as uncharacterized. The record is from RefSeq and is a predicted model, not a curated record. The transcript is spliced from 2 exons. Lineage: Eukaryota; Viridiplantae; Streptophyta; Magnoliopsida; Sapindales; Anacardiaceae.